RNAcentral lists this ribosomal RNA (614 nucleotides) under Gesasha unicellularis. Its description in RNAcentral is "eukaryotic LSU rRNA". It matches the Rfam family "Eukaryotic large subunit ribosomal RNA", at positions 37 to 666 of the family's 3401-position model. Lineage: Eukaryota; Fungi; Ascomycota; Sordariomycetes; Microascales; Halosphaeriaceae. The record is from RNAcentral.
AGCAUAUCAAUAAGCGGAGGAAAAGAAACCAACAGGGAUGCCCUAGUAACGGCGAGUGAAGAGGCAAAAGCUCAAAUUUGAAAUCUGGCUCCUUUUUGGGGUCCGAGUUGUAAUUUGCAGAGGAUGCUUUUGGCGAGAUACCUUCCGAGUUCUUCCUGAAAACGGGACGCCACAGAGGGUGAGAGCCCCGUGCGGUCUGGUGUCGAGCCUUUGUAAAGCUCCCUCGAAGAGUCGAGUAGUUUGGGAAUGCUGCUCUAAACGGGAGGUAAACUCCUUCUAAAGCUAAAUACCAGCCGGAGACCGAUAGCGCACAAGUAGAGUGAUCGAAAGAUGAAAAGCACUUUGAAAAGAGAGUUAAAUAGUACGUGAAAUUGUUGAAAGGGAAGCGCUCGUGGCCAGACUUGCGCCCGCUAGUUUAUGUGUCUUUCUAGGCAUUGCACUCUGGCGGGCUCAGGCCAGCAUCGGUUCCGGGCGGGGGAAAAUUGCGGCGGGAAAGUGGCUCCUCGGAGUGUUAUAGCCUGCCGUAGCAUGCCCCGCCGUUGGGACCGAGGUUCUCGCCUUCGGGCAAGGAUGCUGGCGUAAUGGCCACCAGCGACCCGUCUUGAAACACGGAC